This is an RNA transcript of Rhineura floridana, 3485 nucleotides long. It is a transcript of the gene named retinol dehydrogenase 12-like, with no coding region annotated. Lineage: Eukaryota; Metazoa; Chordata; Lepidosauria; Squamata; Rhineuridae. The transcript is spliced from 8 exons. The record is from RefSeq and is a predicted model, not a curated record.
CGGGGCAUGCAGGUGGCCAUUGUGGCCUGCGGAGUAGUACGAGUGUGCCUGGGAGCUCCCUCUCUGCGAUGCACGGCAGGAUCGGUUCUCUCACCAAUCUCAGAAGCCCUGGCCAGUUUUUCUUUCGGUUUGUCUCUACGGCUUCACGUUGUGCAGAGAGAUUCUUCCUGCAAGAGCUGAAGUUCGCGGAGUGACGAUGCUCGCUUUUUGGGGGUCUGUCCUGGCACUGUUUGUGUCUGUUCUUCUCCUGGUAUUUGCGGCCGCGCCUUAUUACAGGAAAUACAUUGCAGGAGGAGUGUGCAAAUCUACAGCUAAGCUGAAUGGGAAGGUUGUAGUGAUCACAGGGGCCAACGCUGGCAUAGGGAAGGAAACUGCCAAAGAUUUUGCAGGAAGAGGUGCCAGAGUCAUCCUUGCUUGCAGAGAUAUGGCAAAGGCAGAAACAGCAGCCUGUGAAAUCCGGAGCAAGACAGGAAACCAGCAAGUUAUUGCAAGGAAACUGGACUUGGCAAACACCAAGUCGAUCCGAGAAUUUGCUGAGAAUUUCCUAAAAGAGGAGAAAGAACUCCAUAUCCUCAUUAACAAUGCAGGGGUUAUGCUGCACCCCUACUCCAAGACAGCAGAUGGCUUUGAGAUGCAUUUCAGUGUCAACUACCUUGGGCACUUCCUUUUAACGUUCCUAUUGCUAGAGCGCCUGAAGCAAUCUGCACCAGGUCGCAUAGUGAAUGUAUCCUCGCUAGCUCAUCAUGGCGGGAGAAUUCGCUUCCAUGACCUCCAGGGUGAGAAGUGCUACAAUCGAGCCCUGGCAUAUUGUCACAGCAAACUGGCCAAUAUUCUCUUUACCCGGGAGUUGGCCAGACGACUGCAAGGCACUGAUAUCACUGUAAAUGCCGUGUAUCCUGGCAUAGUCUCUACCGAAUUGACCCGUCAUUCACCUGUAUUGGAUACUCUGCGGAAAAGUGUGCCUUUCUUGUUGAAGACACCACCAGAAGGAGCCCAAACCAGUGUGUAUUGUGCAGUGGCAGAGGAGCUGGAGUCAGUGACUGGGAAGUAUUUCAGGCGCCAUUUCGAUCUGCCCAUUUUUCCCGCCCUUUCUGUUCUCCUUCACUUGUUUGUACAGUUAUUUAGUCAGGCUAUCCAAGUGCCUGUAGGACUUAUUUUUACAACAAGUGCCUCUGCACAGCAACUGCAUAUUCGGACUGCACCUUGAAAUUAUCUGUGCCGCAGCUGUAUAUUGGAACUGUACGCCACACCGCACCCCCCACCUCUGUGCGUGUGUUGGUGUUAUAUAUACCGUGUGGUGGUGAAAGUCCCUUGCCACACCGCACCCCCCACCUCUGUGCGUGUGUUGGUAUAGCAUUGCUGGGCGCUCAGAAUGGCGGAUUAAUGGGCCGAAAUACAUCUACUUUCGCUGAGAGCAGAACAUCUCCGAAGUGUGUUAAACGUUGCGUCCGACUGGCUCAGCAGACAACAAGUGAUCCCAGGAGAAUGGAAGCUACACCCCAUGGUGUUCAGCCUUCUCCAACGACGGUUCGGCAUCCUCUCAGUGGAUCUGUUUGCAUCCAGUCACAAUUACCAGCUACCUCGCUACUUCUCCAGGUAUCUGGACAACGACGUGGAAUCAAUGGAUGCACUGUUGACUCAGUGGCCAGCAGGCCUCCUGUAUGCUUUUCCCCCGAUACCGCUAUUGGGCAAGACCAUCAGGAAGCUGCGACGCGAAAGGGCCCAUCUGAUCCUGAUAGCACCGUACUGGCUUCGUCGGCCGUGGUUCUCCGACCUGCUCUCCCUUUCAGUGACAGAGUCUUGGAGGUUGCCACUCAGACCAGAUCUUCUAUCUCAGGGCCCGAUUUGGCAUCCGGAUCCCGAAUGGCUCAAUCUGACAGCGUGGCAUUUGAACGCGGACAUUUGAUUCAUUCAGGAUUGUCUAAGGAAGUUGUGGACACAAUUCUCGCGUCUCGAAAGCAGUCGACCUCUCCGGUCUACCAGAGCACCUGGACUACCUUCGCUAGUUGGUGUGACUCUCAAAACGUUCUACCAUCUCAGGCCAAGGUUCAACAUCUACUGCAAUUUUUACAUAGAGGCCUGAAAAUGGGACUGAAACCUAACACCUUACGCCGCCACCAUUUCAUCUAUUCUCUCCGUCACGUCUCCUACUAUUCCUAUGGGUUCACACCCACUGGUCAAACGUUUUUUGAAGGGGGCCGUCCUACUGUCGCCAGCAGUUUGUCAUCGCUUUCCGUCGUGGAGUUUAUCGAAGGUCCUGCAAGCCCUGCAGCGCCCUCCUUUUGAGCCCCUUCGAUCUGUUCCUUUACGUCUUUUGGCCUUCAAAGUCCUGUUCCUCGUGGUGAUCACCUCGGCAAGAAGAAUCUCAGAGUUGGGGGCACUGUUCUCAGCCCGCCAACUCUAUAUUUCCAUAAGGACUCAGUGGUACUAUGUCUAGAUCCUUCCUUCCGUCCCAAGGUCAUUUCGGCGUUCCACUGUAACCAAGACAUUGUUUUGCCUUCGUUCUGUCUGGAACCUGUUCAUCCGCUCGAGAAGGCCUGGCACUCGCUAGAUGUCUGGAGGGCUCUCAAGACAUACCUGUCUCGCACCCAGGACAUACGGUCAACGGAUUCCUUAUUUGUAUCCUUUCACCCGCGUACUCUGGGGCAAAAGGUGUCUAGCUCUAAGUUAUCUUGUUGGUUGCGUGCCUGUAUUGCAUUGGCCUAUGAGUCACUUCAGCUGCCAGUGCCUCGUAACAUAACGGCACAUUCCACUAGGUCAGCUGCCACUACGGCUGCCUUCGCAACCAAUGCUCCUCUAGCAGAGAUUUGCAGAGCGGCUGUAUGGUCUACCCCAAAUUCUUUCAUAAGACAUUAUAAGAUAGACCGUUACGCUUCUGCUGAUGCCUCAUUCGGGAGGCGUGUUUUACAACAGGUUAUUUCUGCUAAGUAGCCAAGAGGCGGUCCCUCCCUAUUAGAGGCUGCUUUGGUACAUCCCACAUGAUGUCGGACUACCUAAGGAAAAUGUACCAUUGGUAUCACCUGAAGGGUGAUUUUCUUAGGUAGUCCGACAUCACGGCCCUCCCUUUUUGGAGGAUUUGGGGUUUUUUGCUACCUAACCACUUAUUACUCUUCAGUGUUAUAAUAUUUAAACUUUUUUACCAAGUCAAGACCAAUUUGGACCUGUUUAAUAUGCUUGCGAUCUUUGGGUCAUGUUUUGGGACACUGUUUCCUUGCUGUUAGGCCCGUUGGCCUUUUAUGUCUUUUCAGAUAUGUCUCUCACUUCGGUCUCGUCACGAAUGAACUGGAGUGGGAGGGGCUCGAUGCCCCAGGUCUUGACUUCGAUCCAUUCUUGCCUUCGGACGCUAGAUGGUGCUAUAUCCCAUGUGAUGUCGGACUACCUAAGAAAAUCACCCUUCAGUGACUGUAAACCGGCAUAUGUAUCUCCUCAAGGACGCAAUGAUGAAACAGCAAAGCAGCUCUGGACUGUCAGCUGUGAACUACUAG